Non-coding RNA from Paramisgurnus dabryanus, 1856 nucleotides. Lineage: Eukaryota; Metazoa; Chordata; Actinopteri; Cypriniformes; Cobitidae. The record is from RefSeq and is a predicted model, not a curated record.
ACGUUACAGUCAGUCAGUCAGUCAGUCAGUCAGUCAGUCAGUCAGUCAGUCAGUAAGUGUAAGGCUCAUAAAGAAAAACAGCGUUUUAAAAAUGUCAGCUGUAUAACGUUAUUUCACGUUUGGUAGUUUUAUCCGAGUUGAAAACUGUCAGAUUUGAGUUGACUUUUGAGGCACUUUUUACUCAGUUGUUCUAUGGAAACGGUUCAGGACAAAUAAAACGCUAACCAAACGUUAUUCUGUCCAGAGUAACGUUAUCCAUGUAAGUAAUUUACCAGAUGAUAUCAAUUGACUACAUUAAUAAUGACAUUGCGUAUGAAACAAACUGUCUGCUUAAUCAGAUGAACAGACCCGCGUCAGUUAUUCGUGACUUCACUACGCCACGAGCAACACUUGAUUCUAUUAGAAAAAGCUUUUUUAAAUGCCUCGCGUGACGUCUGGUAUAUUAACUGAAAAAAUUGCUUUGAAGUGCCACACCUUAAAGCUGACGUUUUCAGAAGAGCACCUUGUUUUAAGAUCUCAUUUUGUCCAAAAUUGCGUCCUAUGACAGAUAUAAUACUUAUUUCAUUAUUGCUCUGUGUAUGUGUGACCUUCAUCAUUUGAGGUUGUGUGUUGAUUUCACCUCUGAAUAUUUCCUCUUAUAGGUCCAUCAUCCUUGCAUGCGCUACACACUCAAAAGCAUUGAUAAAUGCUGAAUUUAAAAGAAUCACUACUGUCUUAUGUUCCUGCGUGUCACCUGGACCUCCAAUCCAAAAACCUGACGAAACUCUUCUAUCAGAAAGGAGGACAGCUAGCAAAAAGACUUCAAACAAUGAAUGAUCAAAUGACAGAAGGCAUGGAUGAAGUCAGCAUCAGUGUGGUCAUUUGAAGACACCACUGUUGGGAUUUGUGCUCUCAAACAACAUGCUUCUUGUGAUGAAGAAGAGGAUCUUUGUAUAGUCCUGGAAGGCAUGAAGGUGUUGCAACAUCGUGCCAUGUUGUUUGAGCUGAUGUAUGCCUUAAACCUGAGCUAUCCUGAUCUCUGCUUUAUUUUUGAAGAAAUCCAAAAGAUUUUAAUGGAACUGCAUUGAGCGUAACUUUAACGAACAGUUUCUUUCAGUGAAAGGAUCAGAAAGACUGUGCUGCUCAUUUAUGUUCUGUUUAUCUGUUUUAAGUGUUUUUUCUUAUUAAAACAUGAACAGUUUUCUGCUCAGAGUUGAUUUUGGAAAUGGUUGUUGUAUUUUGUUUUUGUUGAAUCUUUGAUUAUCAGUUUAUACAAAUGCUGUAGCUCUGACUUUCUGAAGGAUUGAUAUUUUCCAGUUUGUAAAUCCAUUUAAAAAAUAAUAGUACUUACUGUUUUGCAUGUCUCUUUGGAAUGCAGUGUUUGUGCUUUAGCACUUCUAAAUCUACUGUGAUAGUAACUAUUUUAAACAUUUGGGUCAGUUUUACAGAUGGGGCUUUUUCUAGUCCCAGACUUUUGCAAUGCCUUAAUUUGAAAACAUAUUGCACUGACAUAUCUUGACAUAUAUCAGUGCCAUUGUUUUGUCUCAAGAUGUACUCCAGUGUUGUUUUUGUAAGGUAGGUUUGUUUGUAAACUUUUUUUGUAAAAAAUAUCCUAAUAUAAUAUAACUAGGGCCUAGUCAUGGAUUAAUCUACAACCUGUUUGGGAAAUUGCCCCUUUGUAUGUACUGCAUGUGCUGAUUGUUGUAAUAGUUAUUGACUGUUGUUGAAUUAAUGUGUAGUGAUUUAAAUGAAUUGAUGAUCUGAAAGCAGUGGUUUGCCUCAAUAUCACUAAACUUUUGUUUAAAACUCUUUGCUUUUUAUGCCAAUGCAAAUGUAUUUUGUAUUUAAAAAAGAAAUAAAUAACAUUUGGAUAAUUA